Molecule: long non-coding RNA, 1048 nt
Organism: Nicotiana tabacum (common tobacco)
Lineage: Eukaryota; Viridiplantae; Streptophyta; Magnoliopsida; Solanales; Solanaceae
Source: RefSeq, a predicted model, not a curated record
UUAGAAAAGGGACAUAAGAGAAAAAUAGGGGAAAGAAAAGGGAAGGAACCCUGAAAACUCUUCUUUUUCUACACAAGGAACACAGCCGCAAGACCCCUGGAGGACCUUCUUCUUCACGGCCGACUCCCUUUCUUUCUCUCUCUCUCACAGCCAAACAACCACCCAAAGAACCCCACCCCCAGUCGUGACCUUCUUUUUCAACCAAGGAACACCCUUAAUAGAUACCAAAAACCCUAGACCCUUAAAAACAAGUCGCCGCUGCCAUCUCCGGCGAGACCUCCAUCUCCGCCGCAUCUUCCUCAUCUCUUCAAAUCCGGCCACCACCAACAACCUUUCUCAUCCACACCUAGCAGCGGAACUCAACAGAACCAUCGUUGCUUCUUCUUCUUUCCCAUUCUCAGCAGCCGCACAACCUAACAGGAGGAGAGUCAGUCCAUGAAACUCUAUUAAAAUAACCUCCUGAAACUCUAUGAAAAUCUACUAUAGAGCAGCCCCAAAAAUACUAAAACAGAUCCAACAUCAGUCUCGAGCAAAGAGGUUCGAACUGGUUGAGGUUCGUCGAAGUCGCCGGCGCGGUUCACUUUUCUAGUCAGCGCAAGUCUUCCGGAUUACGUUUGAGCGUACACGGCCUUUUUGUGAGUCACCCGUGUUUAGGGGGUGGGAGCAUGGAGUGGGCGGACAGCUAGAGCAGCCGCCAUCGACCACAUGCCGCCCCGAAUUGCCUUGUCUAGUGAACCCCAAACUUAGGUCAGCCUUUAGGUCAUGCUUAUUUGUAUCAUGCUUAUUUGCAUCAUGUCAUUUACACUUAGCAGGGCUCGGUCCCAGGCACUGUGUUCCUUUAUAUGAGGCCUAUUCAAAUUUUGUCAAAACGGGCCCGUGGCCCAAAAAGACAUUCAAUCAUCCCUGUGCGAUACAUGUUGCAUCUUUGAGGGUAGAUAGGUCAUUUGGCGGACUGAUGUUUGGGAAAGAGGGUGAAAUAUAAAAUGAAGCAAGUAGGGUCCAGUUAUGAUUUUCUUUCACAACUUUUUCAAGAAAAAGACCCAAAAAA